This is a non-coding RNA of Camellia sinensis, 660 nucleotides long. The record is from RefSeq and is a predicted model, not a curated record. NCBI's taxonomy places the organism in Eukaryota, Viridiplantae, Streptophyta, Magnoliopsida, Ericales, Theaceae.
CUAAGCCACAGUGAUGUUAGUUACACGAGCACCAAUCGAUUGAUUCUGAGCUUGGAGUUCGAUUCUGAUUCUGAGCCCCUUCCAUGGAUUUGAUUUCUUUAGUCAAUUCUGGUUGGAAAAAGGAUCAUAACUGAAACCUCUUUAAUUUAGACUACGCAGGCAUGCAACAUUUCAUAUUGUUUCGAGCAAUUUUAGUUCUGUUAUGCCUUCUUCAAUUUUCAUUUUCUUCCUUUAUUUUGACAAAGUUUUUCGUUCAUUUACAGAUAGUUGAUGGAGAUGUCUGCCAUAAUAUAACUCUACCCAUUUACAUCACACUUCCACUUCUUUUGACUUGUCCAACAAUUUAUGCUAGUCCAUUUUCAAUAAAGUUCAAAGUUUUGAUCGUCAUUACCUUCCAGUCAGAGCUAUUGAAGUUGAAUCCAAAAUCUGAUCCUAGAACUCCUAGACCGUGGCUGGCAAUGGAAAAGUGUAUCGUUGGAACUUAUUCAAACAAAGUAAGAUGCUCCAUAUUGUAGGUAAUCUUCUGAUCAAACUCUUCUACCUUCUAUACACAAAUGGAGUGAAAACUCCUGGAUAUGUACUUUAUUGAGUGAAUAAUGGUGAAUGAUGUGUAAGCUUUCCUAUUUGUUGUAGAAUCUUAUUAGUUUAUGAAUCACAAAA